CAAUUGUAUGUGAUGAAAAUUGUUAUAAUGGGUAAUUUGCAGCUUAAUAUCGUGAUGCCACACCCUGAAUACCUGAUGCUAUAA
Non-coding RNA from Picea glauca (white spruce), 84 nucleotides. Lineage: Eukaryota; Viridiplantae; Streptophyta; Pinopsida; Pinales; Pinaceae. The record is from Rfam.